GCCGAUCGAAGACCUGCAGAUGCGUGACGCGUGGCGCCCGCCGGUUGGCGGAGGAUUCGGCGCACCCCAUCCCGGGACGGCCGCACCGCCCACAUUAAAUUCCGGAGGGGGCGCCGGCCAACCACCUUGACACACGGCACGCGGGGCGCGGCUCCGCAUUCAUGCACCCGCGCCGGUUCGCGUUCCCGAUGGGAUGCCUGACAGCGGCCCGCUCUCCCGCGAUCGGCGCCGAAUAUCCGGUCGUCUGACGCCGUAUCGUCCGACGUCCGAUCUUCUGACACCG
Molecule: long non-coding RNA, 283 nt
Filed under: Elaeis guineensis (African oil palm)
Lineage: Eukaryota; Viridiplantae; Streptophyta; Magnoliopsida; Arecales; Arecaceae
Description: long non-coding RNA (EGUI_LNC004884)
Source: RNAcentral